UACAGAGGGUGCGAGCGUUACUCGGAAUUACUGGGCGUAAAGGGCGCGUAGGCGGCACUGUUAGUCAGGCGUGAAAGUCCUGGGCUCAACCUGGGAACUGCGCUUGAUACGGCAGAGCUAGAGGAUGGAAGAGGGUCGCGGAAUUCCCAGUGUAGAGGUGAAAUUCGUAGAUAUUGGGAAGAACACCGGUGGCGAAGGCGGCGACCUGGUCCAUUACUGACGCUGAGGCGCGACAGCGUGGGGAGCAAACAGG
This 253-nucleotide ribosomal RNA is filed under the name uncultured bacterium. Its description in RNAcentral is "partial 16S ribosomal RNA". It matches the Rfam family "Bacterial small subunit ribosomal RNA", at positions 524 to 776 of the family's 1533-position model. The record is from RNAcentral.